This 199-nucleotide long non-coding RNA is filed under the name Elaeis guineensis (African oil palm). RNAcentral's name for it is "long non-coding RNA (EGUI_LNC010475)". Lineage: Eukaryota; Viridiplantae; Streptophyta; Magnoliopsida; Arecales; Arecaceae. The record is from RNAcentral.
GCCCUGAAGAAGCGGGAGGUCGGUCUGACCCUGAGGAGAAAACAGUAGACUAGAAAAGCUAAGAUCUGGUGCCAUGAGCUCGACGCUAUAUUACAGGGGCUUACUUGGAAUGUGUUAAGUAAUUCUAUAACUAAAUAGUGAAAGGGUAGCCUAAGACCGACCUUCAGAGAUUCCUUAUAAAGGUCGAUCCGAUCUUGAC